RNAcentral lists this ribosomal RNA (497 nucleotides) under uncultured bacterium. RNAcentral's name for it is "partial 16S ribosomal RNA". It matches the Rfam family "Bacterial small subunit ribosomal RNA", at positions 28 to 507 of the family's 1533-position model. The record is from RNAcentral.
GAUGAACGCUGGCGGCGUGCCUAAUACAUGCAAGUCGAGCGAACAGACGAGGAGCUUGCUCCUCUGACGUUAGCGGCGGACGGGUGAGUAACACGUGGAUAACCUACCUAUAAGACUGGGAUAACUUCGGGAAACCGGAGCUAAUACCGGAUAAUAUAUUGAACCGCAUGGUUCAAUAGUGAAAGACGGUUUUGCUGUCACGUAUAGAUGGAUCCGCGCCGCAUUAGUUAGUUGGUAAGGUAACGGCUUACCAAGGCGACGAUGCGUAGCCGACCUGAGAGGGUGAUCGGCCACACUGGAACUGAGACACGGUCCAGACUCCUACGGGAGGCAGCAGUAGGGAAUCUUCCGCAAUGGGCGAAAGCCUGACGGAGCAACGCCGCGUGAGUGAUGAAGGUCUUCGGAUCGUAAAACUCUGUUAUUAGGGAAGAACAAAUGUGUAAGUAACUAUGCACGUCUUGACGGUACCUGAUCAGAAAGCCACGGCUAACUACGUG